RNAcentral lists this long non-coding RNA (1804 nucleotides) under Lupinus angustifolius (narrow-leaved blue lupine). Its description in RNAcentral is "long non-coding RNA (LANG_LNC002824)". The record is from RNAcentral. Lineage: Eukaryota; Viridiplantae; Streptophyta; Magnoliopsida; Fabales; Fabaceae.
UCUCAGAAGUCGAACCCUUAAGUUUUGUCCUUUUCAAGUCAAAUGAACUAUUAGAAACGAAAAAUUAUGGUUGAAGAUAGGCAUAUAAUGAGAGGAACCUCAAGUGGUUGUAAUUAGAUUCUUGUUUAAUAAAGCCUUGAUUGCAGCAUUUUAGAGAUGCCACAACCACGUUGGAGAAUAUUUGAAUGAUAAGUGAAGAUGUUACAACAAAACCACAUUUGGUAAGUCCCUGAAUAUUUUACAUCUAUAUACAACAUAAAAAGCAAGAAUUUAUAUAAGAGUGAAGAUUCACUUACUCUAAGAUUUAAACUUCCUUAUCCUAUCCAUCCAUUCUAGGGAAAUCUAAUGGUUUAAAUUUACUCACUACUUCAAACCAUUAGAUUUCCCAAGAAUUGAUGUCUAAGAUAGGUUGGAGAAAGUGGUUUGAAGAAAAUAGGAGGAGCCCUUACCAUUGGAAACCACCAUCAUUUUUUAUCAUUAAUUGUAGUUGAACAAAAUCCACUAAACAUAGAGAGUUACUUUAACGAUGAUAUUAGAGAUAAAGAAUAUUAUAUAAAGGGAACAUGUAAGAAGAUAAUGACAUAUGGACAAUGUGUUUAGAAUGAAUAUAUGCAUGACUAAACAAAAUAUUCCUAAUUUUAUUACAGACAUGGGUGUAGAAAACUUGACUAUAAUUACCUUCUUUUUUUUACAUUUCCAUGUAAGAAUGCUAUUGUAGAUUAAGUCAAAAUAUGAUCAUAUUUGGGAAGCAACAUUGGAAAUUUUAAUAGUCAAGUUUUGAUAGGUAUACACAGUUACAUGCUAAAGACAUUGUCCAUUUGUUAUUGAAUUUUUACAAGUCUGAAUACAUUUAUAGUCUUUACUUUAAUUUUGUUGUAAAGCUAAUUUUAAAUAUUGGAUAUUGUUUAAGGGAUAUUAAAUUAGUAAAAUAUUUUUGGAUUCUAGUAUGACAACAAAGUUUGUUAUUUUGGGAUGACAAAGCAUGAUAAAGCUUAUAUUUUCCUGCUUGUGCUAAUGUUAAUGGCAUGAUAAUGUUUAGGACAUUUUAUAUUUGGAAUACAUUUUACUAUAUUGUCUUCAUUUCAACAAGAGGCUAUGGCUUCUUAUCUUCCUCAUUUUGAAUAAUUUUUUUAUAAGCAAGUAAUCUGGUCCAUUCUACUUCAAAAGAAGUUCUAAAUUGGUGACACAUGAGGUGAGUUUUUAUUCUGUUUUCUAUUCAAAAUAACAUUUUUUAUUCAGGCUUUUCUAGAAGUUUGCAUUCAAUGAAAUUACUUCAACAAUACGGAAUAUCAGAAAAUUAAAUUGUUAUAAUUAGAUUCUUGUUUUAUGAAUUGAUUGCACCAUUUUGAGAAGCCACAACAAAACCACAUUGGAGACAUUUUGAAUGGUAAGUGAAGAUGUUACAAGAAAACCACAUUUAGUAAAUCCCUGAAUAUUUUACAUGUUUAUCCAACAUGAAAAACAAGAAUUUAUAUAAUAGUACUUUUUGAAGAAAAUAGGAAGAGCCCUUACCAUUCAUAUACACUAGUUUAAGUCAUGUAUAUAGCCUUAUCACUCUAUACCCCUAAAAAGUUGAAGAAUUGUCAUUCCACAUCGUUCUUGAAUACACAGAUAAAGGUUCUAUCUUGUUUUGUCAUCCCAAAUCUGACAAACUUUAACCUCAAAUUGGAAUCCACCAUCAUUUUUUAUCAUUAAUUGUUGUUGAACAAAAUCCACUAAACAUAGAGAAUUACUUUAACGAUGAUAUUAAAGAUAAAGAAUAUUAUAUAAAUGGAACGUGUAAGAAGAUAAUAACAUAUGGGCA